This is a long non-coding RNA of Megalobrama amblycephala (Wuchang bream), 826 nucleotides long. RefSeq lists it as uncharacterized. The transcript is spliced from 2 exons. The record is from RefSeq and is a predicted model, not a curated record. Lineage: Eukaryota; Metazoa; Chordata; Actinopteri; Cypriniformes; Xenocyprididae.
AGCAUUAAGCACAUCAGAGUGCAGUUACAUGCAUCGGAUUUUCUAAGUGGGGAACAUGAAAGAGACAGUCAAUCACUCGAUUUGUACAGCAUUAGAUCGUUCUGAAUUUGAGAGAAUUUGAGAAUCUGAAUUUGUGUCUUUGGUUAUAGAUAGUAUUUUGUAAUAUAACAAUUUUCUAUACAUACAGAGGCAUACUUUAAAUGUAUUGAAAUUAUAAGGCAUCUUUGAGUAAACUUCGAGUAUCAUUUGAGUAUCUCAUUGCCGGGCCGAGUGUCCUGGUUUUUGGUAAUCAAAAUAUGGUCACCCUAAGCUAAUGUAAAUUUCAUUCUUAAUAAUCGAUUUUAAGUUCACAUCUGCUGCAGAAGACUGACGUUCACAUAUUUCAUAAUGACGACUACAAGUAGGCCUACAGUCAAUGCAACAAACGGAAUUUUCUAAAUCUACUUUCCAGCCAAAUAAGUAACUUCACUUCUCUCUCUUUCGCUCUCUCUUUGCUUUUCUGCUUUUAGGCUCUUUGACAUUUACCCUAAACAUGGCUCAAGAACCAGGAAGGGGGGAAAAUGACCUUCUGUGAAAUAUGGUUUUGUUAACGCACUUUGACAUCAACCAUGAACAUGGCUCAAGAAACAAGAAGGGAAAAUGACUUCCAAGACUGGCAACACUGUGCAAAAAAGGAGCAGUACUGAAAAACUUGUAGGCCUACUAUUUGUUUUUACUCCACAUUUGGAAAAAUGUUAAAAGUAAAUAAGAUUGCUGUAUUGUUCAUUGAUAACUGUUGAGUGCAUUUAAAAUGUUGACCUUUCAACAUUGCAAUUUUCUGCUUUUU